GACGAACGCUGGCGGCGUGCUUAACACAUGCAAGUCGAACGGAAAGGCCCUGCUUUUGUGGGGUGCUCGAGUGGCGAACGGGUGAGUAACACGUGAGUAACCUGCCCUUGACUUUGGGAUAACUUCAGGAAACUGGGGCUAAUACCGGAUAGGAGCUCCUGCUGCAUAGUGGGGGUUGGAAAGUUUCGGCGGUUGGGGAUGGACUCGCGGCUUAUCAGCUUGUUGGUGGGGUAGUGGCUUACCAAGGCUUUGACGGGUAGCCGGCCUGAGAGGGUGACCGGACACAUUGGGACUGAGAUACGGCCCAGACUCCUACGGGAGGCAGCAGUGGAGAAUAUUACGGAAUAGGGUGAAGCCUGAUGCAGCAACGCCGCGUGCGGGAUGACGGCCUUCGGGUUGUAAACCGCUUUCGCCUGUGACGAAGCGUGAGUGACGGUAAUGGGUAAAGAAGCACCGGCUAACUACGUG
Molecule: ribosomal RNA, 468 nt
Filed under: uncultured bacterium
Lineage: Bacteria
Description: partial 16S ribosomal RNA
Rfam family: Bacterial small subunit ribosomal RNA
Source: RNAcentral